UAACCUCCAAUUUCUUUCUUAACCAUUUGGUGGAAAACAGGCCUUUCUGUGCCUCGAUGAAAGGAUAUAUUGGAUGUGGAUGGAGUUUGCGCCAAAGCUUCCUUAGAGAAAACUCUGAUUUGGACAUUUGCAUUUGACUUGCAUUAAAUUGAGUUGAGGUCAUUUUUAAGGCUCUUAUCUUUGUCAAUUUAUAAAUUAUGUUACACUAGUCACAGUGGAGGGAGGUGCUUUAUUUGGGUUUACUGUACUACUUGUGUUUCUCAUAAUUGUGGGAACUCUUUGGUGGACAUCGUAUCCAGAAACAAUUGAAUAUGUGGUUACUGGAGAAUGCGAUGAAUUUUAAUUGAAUAAACCAGCAAGCUGGCCUUUUGUUGCCAUUGAGGGUACUCCUUUGCAUGGUAUUCAUAA
Molecule: non-coding RNA, 408 nt
Organism: Elaeis guineensis (African oil palm)
Lineage: Eukaryota; Viridiplantae; Streptophyta; Magnoliopsida; Arecales; Arecaceae
Source: RefSeq, a predicted model, not a curated record